GCUGGCGGCAGGCUUAACACAUGCAAGUCGAGCGCUCGUAGCAAUACGAGAGCGGCAGACGGGAGAGUAACACGUGGGAACGUACCCUUCGGUUCGGAAUAACCCAGGGAAACUUGGGCUAAUACCGGAUACGUCCGUAAGGAGAAAGAUUUAUCGCCGAGGGAUCGGCCCGCGUCCGAUUAGCUAGUUGGUGAGGUAAUGGCUCACCAAGGCGACGAUCGGUAGCUGGUCUGAGAGGAUGAUCAGCCUCACUGGGACUGAGACACGGCCCAGACUCCUACGGGAGGCAGCAGUGGGGAAUAUUGGACAAUGGGCGCAAGCCUGAUCCAGCCAUGCCGCGUGGGUGAUGAAGGCCUUAGGGUUGUAAAGCCCUUUCGGCGGGGAAGAUAAUGACGGUACCCGCAGAAGAAGCCCCGGCUAACUUCGUGCCAGCAGCCGCGGUAAUACGAAGGGGGCUAGCGUUGCUCGGAAUCACUGGGCGUAAAGCGCACGUAGGCGGGUCUUUAAGUCAGGGGUGAAAUCCUGGA
This 527-nucleotide ribosomal RNA is filed under the name uncultured soil bacterium. Its description in RNAcentral is "bacterial SSU rRNA". It matches the Rfam family "Bacterial small subunit ribosomal RNA", at positions 35 to 606 of the family's 1533-position model. The record is from RNAcentral.